UAAAUUCCAAUAUUUUUUUAAUAUAUAUUUUUCAAUUCAUACAACAAGCAACAGUAAUGAACAAAAAAGGAUUUUCUGCAGGUCUUCAAAUAGUAAUAUUGGGUUCUAUAUCUCUAGUUUCUGUGAAUUCUACACAAUAUUAUUUUAAUUAUUAAAUAAUUUUUAGAAUGAUUAAGUAUUUAAAAUAAUAAUAAUAAAGGCGAGUAAUGCUUUUUUAUGUCUUUGCCUAGGCUCGUAAAGUAUGAAACUUGAGAUUCACUCCUAAUUACGUUUUACGUUAUUUUAGAACGCUGGUUUCAAUUAAUUGUGAUUAGUUUUAGCUCCUGUUUGACCCCCAUUAUUUGGAUUUAUAAUUGGAGGAAUAGUGAUUUUUUGAAAAAUGGAUGGUUGUAAAAGAAUGAAAAUUUUUCAAUUUACGUGUAAUAAUAUUUUAUUAAAAAUUGUGUGGUUGACAAUAAAAGAGAGAAAAAUUUAAAUUAAAUGAAUGAGUUUUAAAGGGAGCCAAACGGAGGCUUAAUCAUGACUUGCUGAUACCUUAUUAUACAAAUCCGCAAAAUGAGAACUUAAAAGAUGUUUAGUACCUUUAUUUUCAAAAAUAAGCCCCCGUUUGGUACCACUAAAAAUUAUGAUUAAAAUUUAAGUUAAAGUCAACAAUUAAUUGUAUCCACACACUUCAUAAGAAUCACCAACAACUUUUCAAUAGAACAUUUCAUUAUUAUUUUUUAUUAUAAAAUCACUAAAGAAUUGAUUUUAAUAUCCACCAAAGCUAAUUAUGUCUCCAAUCCAUGUAAAGAUUAUUGGCUGGUGUUUCACGUGGGUUGUCGCUAACAAUUAAAAAGGGAUCAGACGAUUGUGUAAGGAACAAAUCUCUUGAGACAAAGUCCCAAAAGGGAUGUUUUAUUGGUGAUGACUUUACAAUUGGAAUUUAAACAGAAUGUCUCCAAGGAGCGCAGGCACACGAGUACUGAAAAGAAAUAUUUUAAGUCUAAAUUAAGGAAUUGAAAUUACAUAUUCUCUGUUUGAGAGUGUUUGAUUCGGGGUCCUUUGCUCUAUGGCUUUUCUUCCUUUUAUAUUCCCUUGAUGAUCUCUUCGUGAUCAACCGCUUAAAAACCGCUUAAUUGCUUUAUAACUGCCCACUUCUUCAUGGUGGCCAACUUAUCGUGGAAGUGCCGUCCCUAACUGCUGCAACUAUUCUUUGUCGUUCAACCGUCUUCAACUGAACAUCCUUGAAUCGUGGAACGUGAUAAGAUUACCCAAUAACUGCUUCGAUAACUGCACUUUUGUAUAACUAUAACAUCUUAUGUUUGCUAAGAUCCUGGGCGAUUCGAAAUUUGGGCGAGAACAGGGUCAUAACUCUGGGCGACUGCAAGGCACUUCAUUUGCUUAGAUCUUAGGCGUCUUGCAAGUUUGGGCGAUGGUGUAACCGCGUUCGUGGGCUUCCACUGCAUUCAUUGAUAGCCCUAUUCGGGCCUUUAUCCUGAAUUGCCCAGUUGGGUUUCAUUCUUUGGGCUAUACGAUUUUGACUGUAUUUUUAGCGUGUCAACAGCUGGUUAGCUAUUGUAGAUUUUCAUUUUUAUCCUUUCUGUCACACCGCGGAAAAAUUUAUUCAAACAAGCAUUCAUUUGCAUGCAUGAACCAUAACUCCAAAAUUCUAAAUGCUGAAAAAAUAAAUAGUGCGGUGGAAGGAGGUGGGUCCCCACUGCAGUCCUGGUUACCACUUGAAAUUUGGGAAAAAAAGAAGAAGGAAUAUACUACUCGUACAUAAUGCGGUGUCUAUAACGGUGUUCAUCUUCUUUACAUAGAGGGGAAUUCACUUCGAAUAAAUUAUAUUUUAUUCGAAGUGGAUAUCCCUCCAUGUGAGAUAGAACACUGUUAUGAACACUCUGAUGUAUGUGUAAUAUGGCCCAAAAAACAUUUGUAACUUUUUAUUAUUAUUUAAUAUUAUUAUGUUUUUUUUCUUGUAAUUUUUUCCGCAACUAAAUUAAGUCUGUUGAAUCCGAGUCUUGGCUCCGUCACUGGUUAUCAUAAUAGAAUUCAAGAUCUUUCAUUACGAGAAUGACCGAAAAUUAAGAUCCAGUACAUAAUAACACUUUUCUUUGCAAGAUGAACAUACAUAUACAAAGGAAAAUAUUUAUUGAAUUCACUUUUCAUCGACAUUAUCUAUUAUUUGAGUUAGUUAAUUUGUACGAUCAGUUGCAAAAAUUUCUGAAUAUGUAUCUAAAUUUAAGCUGAAUUCCAUCCUUUUGAUAAAAGAAUAUCUUAGCCUUGUAAAAGGUUCAUUAGAUAUUUCUCUAGUGCAUCUCCAUCAUCGCAUUAUCGAUUGCCAUAUCAAGCAUUGUGAAGUCAAAUGAAAUAAUAAAGUAGUUUUAACUCUUUACUUAAUAAGGAAUGCAAUUAACGAUAAUAAAUUUAAGAUAAUGAUGCCUUUCCACUCCAAAAUGUCAUCAAAAGAGAGAUGGUACAUAAAUCAUUUAACUUGUUUAAUUCUCAAACUUAAUUAAGGGCUAGUUUGGGAGAGAUUUUUGUAAAUUAUUAUUUUUUAAAUCAUUUUCAACCCAACAUUUUAUGAAACUCACAACGUUCACUAUUUUUUAAUCACAGUUUCUCAAAAAAAUUUUCUUCACUUAAGAAAAAUCUCUCCCAAACGAGCUUUAAGUUUCUAAUUCCCAAUUAUACUAAAAUCAAAAGUUGUUUUUACCAUGCCUAGCUUGUCUUUCAUCAUCAAGAAAAUAAUGGCAUGUGAAUAUAUACUUGCAUAAAGACUCAUUUGAGGUUGCUUUCCAAUGGAAGUGCAGCUCAACAAGUGUAUCGGGUAAUAGCAAUUGAUAACUUGAUGGUGCCCAUACUUAGCCAAUUAUUUGUUUUUGUUUCCUCGAUUUUUCAAGGUCGACCAUACUUUUUGCGUUAUUUAGCACGAUUGAUCAAUAUUAUGAAAUAUAGUUAUUUAAAUAUAUUAUUAAACGUACUAAAUACUUUUCAAGUGUACUUUAUCGUUCACCAUAUUAAAUCAAAUAAUGCCAUUAGGGAAUUAUACUAUCUUUUCCUUCACAAACUUAACAAAAAAAGAAAAAGAAAAUGUGAAUAUGUUUUAGUUAGGUAGCCCGUAUUUCAUUUUACAAACAAGAAAGUUAAUGAUUAUUUUUAUUCUCUUUCUAAUAAAUAAAAAUAGAUCAUCAAGUUUUCAAAAAGAACAAUUUUUAAUCAUAAUAUGAGCAAAAUUUUAUUUUAUAUAUGUAAAUUCAUCAUUUCUUGCUACCGAAAAAAAAGAAGAAGAAGAAGAAGAAGUAAAAUUAUAGAUGUAGUUUUAGGGUUUUUGUAAAGAACCCUGAAAACUCACAUCUGACUUCAGUUUUCAACUCAAAAACAAUUAUCAAAAUGAAAUAAUUGAAUUAAUUAGGAAGGCAUACAUGGAGUAAUUAAUAAUUAAAGAACAAAAACUAAUGACAUAAAUUCCAAUAUUUUUUUUAAUAUAUAUCUUUCAAUUCAUACAACAAGCAACAGUAAUGAACAAAAAAGGAUUUUCUGCAGGUCUUCAAAUAGUAAUAUUGGGUUCUAUAUCUCUAAUUUCUGUGAAUUCUACACAAUAUUAUUUCACUCUAGUAAUCAAAGAUAUACAUAUAAUUAAACAAGAGAUCCCAGCAUUGGCAGUGACUCUAGUAACCUUUUAUCGAGCAAAU
RNAcentral lists this long non-coding RNA (3677 nucleotides) under Olea europaea (common olive). RNAcentral describes it as "long non-coding RNA (OEUR_LNC003994)". Lineage: Eukaryota; Viridiplantae; Streptophyta; Magnoliopsida; Lamiales; Oleaceae. The record is from RNAcentral.